Molecule: ribosomal RNA, 442 nt
Filed under: uncultured bacterium
Lineage: Bacteria
Description: bacterial SSU rRNA
Rfam family: Bacterial small subunit ribosomal RNA
Source: RNAcentral
AACGCGAAGAACCUUACCAGGGCUUGACAUGGGCAGGACCGGCACAGAGAUGUGUUUUCCCCGCAAGGGGCCUGCCGCACAGGUGCUGCAUGGCUGUCGUCAGCUCGUGUCGUGAGAUGUUGGGUUAAGUCCCGCAACGAGCGCAACCCUCGCCUUCAGUUGCCAUCAGGUUUGGCUGGGCACUCUGAAGGAACUGCCGGUGACAAGCCGGAGGAAGGUGGGGAUGACGUCAAGUCCUCAUGGCCCUUAUGUCCUGGGCUACACACGUGCUACAAUGGCGGUGACAGUGGGAUGCCAGGUCGCGAGGCCGAGCUGAUCUCAAAAAGCCGUCUCAGUUCAGAUUGCACUCUGCAACUCGGGUGCAUGAAGGUGGAAUCGCUAGUAAUCGCGGAUCAGCACGCCGCGGUGAAUACGUUCCCGGGCCUUGUACACACCGUAGUAC